RNAcentral lists this ribosomal RNA (492 nucleotides) under uncultured bacterium. Its description in RNAcentral is "partial 16S ribosomal RNA". It matches the Rfam family "Bacterial small subunit ribosomal RNA", at positions 29 to 507 of the family's 1533-position model. The record is from RNAcentral.
AGUGAACGCUGGCGGUAGGCCUAACACAUGCAAGUCGAACGGCAGCACAGUAAGAGCUUGCUCUUACGGGUGGCGAGUGGCGGACGGGUGAGGAAUACAUCGGAAUCUACUUUUUCGUGGGGGAUAACGUAGGGAAACUUACGCUAAUACCGCAUAUGACCUACGGGUGAAAGCAGGGGAUCUUCGGACCUUGCGCGAUUGAAUGAGCCGAUGUCGGAUUAGCUAGUUGGCGGGGUAAAGGCCUACCAAGGCGACGAUCCGUAGCUGGUCUGAGAGGAUGAUCAGCCACACUGGAACUGAGACACGGUCCAGACUCCUACGGGAGGCAGCAGUGGGGAAUAUUGGACAAUGGGCGCAAGCCUGAUCCAGCCAUACCGCGUGGGUGAAGAAGGCCUUCGGGUUGUAAAGCCCUUUUGUUGGGAAAGAAAAGCAGCAGGUUAAUACCCCGCUGUUCUGACGGUACCCAAAGAAUAAGCACCGGCUAACUUCGUG